Long non-coding RNA from Pipistrellus kuhlii (Kuhl's pipistrelle), 420 nucleotides. RefSeq lists it as uncharacterized. Lineage: Eukaryota; Metazoa; Chordata; Mammalia; Chiroptera; Vespertilionidae. The transcript has 2 exons. The record is from RefSeq and is a predicted model, not a curated record.
UGGGACUUGGACCACGCUCAGGGCCAAUGCUCUUACCCAUUGUGCCGCCCCACCAUUCCAGACACAUCCACUGAUGCUACACAGAAUUUCUGUGUAAGAGAACAUCAGUGAGUAUAGUCACAUUUGACAAGUGAAUAAUGACAAAUGCAACUCCUCAUAUGGAAGGUCUUAGUCCUUAUGGUGCCCCAUCCUUCAUCAAGCACCAUAAUAGUGGCCUGAAGAUCUUAAGUGAUCUGCCUUAAGGAAAAAGUUAUAAAUUCCCUAUUCAUUGACACUCGGGUUUACAAUGAAUAAAUAGAAUAAGUUAUUUUUUGUUUUGUUACCAGAUUCGUAGUCUUUUUUGGUUUCUUCUUGGAAAUCCUUAAAAAUUUCUUGUCUGAAUUUUUUUUCCAGUCCGUAACUAUAAAACCUGAAAAGACA